RNAcentral lists this long non-coding RNA (761 nucleotides) under Canis lupus familiaris (dog). RNAcentral's name for it is "lncRNA (ENSCAFG00040020955.1)". Lineage: Eukaryota; Metazoa; Chordata; Mammalia; Carnivora; Canidae. The record is from RNAcentral.
CCCAGUUGCCCCCCUUUGAAAUGAAGACUAUGGACCAGGCAAAGUCUGAUUUGAGCCAACCAGGGCGGAACAAUAAUAGGAUUUAUAAAGUCGGAUUACUCAGUGGGAAAUUUUUUUUUUUCUUAAGAAAAGGGGAGAUCUGAACAUGGAGAAAGCCCAUCCGAAAAUCUCUGUGACUCAAAGGUGAUCUUUGAAUAUUAUUUCUGGGCCUGAGUGAGCUGCAUGCAUUUUGAGUGCCACAAAAGUCAUGGCCUGGUUGAAGGAAAAGGUAGUUAUGGAGGUUAAAACAAAAAACAAAUAAGAAAAACAAAGGAGAGAGUAAAAGGAGAGCAUAGGAGGACAGAGAGUACUCCCAGAAAUGGUUCCAGAUAUCUGUGUAUGUGCUGUGUUCUCUUACUCUUGGGUUUUUUUUUUUUUUUAAACAGCUUUAUUGAGUUAUAAUUUACUUACCUCAGACUCCAUCUGUUGCAAUUAUACAAUUUAAUUAUUUUAAAACUCCGAGUUUGUCAUUUAAGUCUGUUACUUGGCCUCCAUUGUGUCUAAUGAGAGGUUAGUCAUUAAUUGCAUUGUUCUCUUUUCCUCUCUGUUCUUCAGAUUGGGUAACUUCUGUGGAUCUAUCACCAAAUUCCCAUAUUUUUCUUCCAUAUUACAUUUUCAGGUGAAACUUAUGUGUGAAGUUUUCUUUGUUUUUUUUUUUUUGUUUUUUUUUUUGUUUUUAAUAUUUUUUAUUGAAGUUUAACUUUUUUUUAUUGAAGUUCUAU